RNAcentral lists this transfer RNA (72 nucleotides) under Ornithorhynchus anatinus (platypus). It matches the Rfam family "tRNA". Rfam says of the family: Transfer RNA (tRNA) molecules are approximately 80 nucleotides in length. Their secondary structure includes four short double-helical elements and three loops (D, anti-codon, and T loops). Lineage: Eukaryota; Metazoa; Chordata; Mammalia; Monotremata; Ornithorhynchidae. The record is from Rfam by way of RNAcentral.
GGCAGAGUAGUUUAGUAGUGAGAGCACGGAACUGGAGUUCCUGACACCCAGGUUCUAGUCCUGGCUCUGCCA